RNAcentral lists this transfer RNA (72 nucleotides) under Camelus bactrianus (Bactrian camel). It matches the Rfam family "tRNA". From Rfam's summary of the family: Transfer RNA (tRNA) molecules are approximately 80 nucleotides in length. Their secondary structure includes four short double-helical elements and three loops (D, anti-codon, and T loops). Lineage: Eukaryota; Metazoa; Chordata; Mammalia; Artiodactyla; Camelidae. RNAcentral also lists the same sequence under 1 other name. The record is from Rfam by way of RNAcentral.
GAAGAUACAGCUCCAUGGUGGAGCCCAUGCUUGGCAUGCACAAGGUCCUGGGUUCAAUCCCCAGUACCUCCA